UCUACGGGAGGCAGCAGUGGGGAAUCUUAGACAAUGGGGGCAACCCUGAUCUAGCCAUGCCGCGUGAGUGAUGAAGGCCCUAGGGUUGUAAAGCUCUUUCAGCUGGGAAGAUAAUGACGGUACCAGCAGAAGAAGCCCCGGCUAACUCCGUGCCAGCAGCCGCGGUAAUACGGAGGGGGCUAGCGUUGUUCGGAAUUACUGGGCGUAAAGCGCACGUAGGCGGACCGGAAAGUUGGGGGUGAAAUCCCGGGGCUCAACCCCGGAACUGCCUUCAAAACUAUCGGUCUGGAGUUCGAGAGAGGUGAGUGGAAUUCCGAGUGUAGAGGUGAAAUUCGUAGAUAUUCGGAGGAACACCAGUGGCGAAGGCGGCUCACUGGCUCGAUACUGACGCUGAGGUGCGAAAGCGAGGGGAGCAAACAGGAUUAGAUACCCUGGUAGUCCACGCCGUAAACGAUGAAUGCCAGUCGUCGGGCAGCAUGCUGUUCGGUGACACACCUAACGGAUUAAGCAUUCCGCCUGGGGAGUACGGUCGCAAGAUUAAAACUCAAAGGAAUUGACGGA
This 561-nucleotide ribosomal RNA is filed under the name uncultured bacterium. RNAcentral's name for it is "bacterial SSU rRNA". It matches the Rfam family "Bacterial small subunit ribosomal RNA", at positions 338 to 917 of the family's 1533-position model. The record is from RNAcentral.